This is a long non-coding RNA of Rhincodon typus (whale shark), 636 nucleotides long. RefSeq lists it as uncharacterized. Lineage: Eukaryota; Metazoa; Chordata; Chondrichthyes; Orectolobiformes; Rhincodontidae. The transcript has 3 exons. The record is from RefSeq and is a predicted model, not a curated record.
AUUUGAUGUGGGGCCGGGUUGAUUCUGAGGCCAUUGCCCAAAAUCAGAUCCUCCCAGCGGCCGUGUUUAGUUGCUGCCAGCUUUUCCAUCAAUUUCUAUUUUUGUUUAUUUCUUUUCUCCGACAUCCGCAGCUCUUCAUUUAAAAUUAUGCACAAGGCUAGAAUCAAAAUCUGGACGAUUUAUGUAAAAUAUGUGCUUGACCUGCUGACCAUUUCCAGCACUUUUCCAUGCCUCCACCCCUGUCCCACCACAAAAGGUUUUUAAAUGUUGAAAAAUUCAAAACUGAAGGAUGGAUGCAUUUGGUAGGAAAAGGUUUAUGAAAUGGAUAAGGAACGCAGAGAACCAGAUCCAAAAUGACUCCACCAUUGCUGAAGCAGUCCCCUGCCGCCAAAAGGCCAUUAGGCCAGACCCACCAUUCUGCCACAUAGCAAGACAUCUGAUCUUGACUGCUAAGAAUGAAAUCUAGCAAUGGGAUGUCAGAUUGGGAUAUAACUCAGAUGCUAGAAUUCAGUCACGAAAUCUUUUCGCCUCUCUUACCUCCUUUAAAGGUGUGGUUUGAUUGAAUGCAGAACAGGCCCAAGGGGCUGAAUGGCCUCUUCCUAAAACACCAUUAAAGCCUAUGCACAUUUACUAAGC